Molecule: long non-coding RNA, 129 nt
Filed under: Phasianus colchicus (ring-necked pheasant)
Lineage: Eukaryota; Metazoa; Chordata; Aves; Galliformes; Phasianidae
Description: lncRNA (ENSPCLG00000017616.1)
Source: RNAcentral
AAUGCAAGUCACAGAGAGAGCCAGUGCCAGCUGCAUAGGGAGCCGGUGCGAGCCACAUAGAGAGCCAAGGCGAGCCACAGAGGGAGCCAAUGCAAGUCACACUGGGAGCCGAAGGGAGCCACAGAGGGA